UUGGAGGGCAAGUCUGGUGCCAGCAGCCGCGGUAAUUCCAGCUCCAAUAGCGUAUAUUAAAGUUGUUGUAGUUAAAAAGCUCGUAGUUGAACCUUGGGCCUGGCUGGCCGGUCCGCCUCACCGCGUGUACUGGUCCGGCCGGGCCUUUCCUUCUGGGGAACCUCAUGCCCUUCACUGGGCGUGUUGGGGAACCAGGACUUUUACUUUGAAAAAAUUAGAGUGUUUAAAGCAGGC
This 234-nucleotide ribosomal RNA is filed under the name uncultured fungus. RNAcentral describes it as "partial 18S ribosomal RNA". It matches the Rfam family "Eukaryotic small subunit ribosomal RNA", at positions 548 to 785 of the family's 1831-position model. The record is from RNAcentral. Lineage: Eukaryota; Fungi.